Molecule: transfer RNA, 66 nt
Filed under: unidentified
Description: Chlorophila portschinski tRNA-Tyr
Source: RNAcentral
GGUAAAGUGGCUGAGGUAUGAGGCAGUAAAUUGUAAAUUUAUUAACGAGUGAAUUCUCUUUUAUCA